CCUACGGGAGGCAGCAGUGGGGAAUCUUGCGCAAUGGGGGAAACCCUGACGCAGCGACGCCGCGUGCGGGAUGAAGGCCUUAGGGUUGUAAACCGCUUUCAGCAGGGACGAAAUUGACGGUACCUGCAGAAGAAGGCCCGGCUAACUACGUGCCAGCAGCCGCGGUAAUACGUAGGGGCCAAGCGUUGUCCGGAAUUAUUGGGCGUAAAGAGCUCGUAGGCGGUUUGGUUAGUCGGAUGUGAAAUCUCCACGCUCAACGUGGAGCGGUCAUUCGAUACUGCCAUGACUUGAGUCCGGUAGGGGAGUGCGGAAUUCCCGGUGUAGCGGUGAAAUGCGCAGAUAUCGGGAGGAACACCCGUAGCGAAGGCGGCACUCUGGGCCGGUACUGACGCUGAGGAGCGAAAGCGUGGGGAGCGAACAGGAUUAGAUACCCUGGUAGUCCACGCCGUAAACGUUGGGCACUAGGUGUGGGACCCUAUCGACGGGUUCCGUGCCGUAGCUAACGCAUUAAGUGCCCCGCCUGGGGAGUACGGCCGCAAGGCUAAAACUCAAAGGAAUUGACGG
RNAcentral lists this ribosomal RNA (564 nucleotides) under uncultured Acidimicrobiia bacterium. Its description in RNAcentral is "bacterial SSU rRNA". It matches the Rfam family "Bacterial small subunit ribosomal RNA", at positions 338 to 916 of the family's 1533-position model. The record is from RNAcentral. Lineage: Bacteria; Bacillati; Actinomycetota; Acidimicrobiia.